This 253-nucleotide ribosomal RNA is filed under the name uncultured bacterium. Its description in RNAcentral is "partial 16S ribosomal RNA". It matches the Rfam family "Bacterial small subunit ribosomal RNA", at positions 524 to 776 of the family's 1533-position model. The record is from RNAcentral.
UACGAGGGGGGCGAGCGUUGUUCGGAAUUAUUGGGCGUAAAGGGUGCGUAGGCGGUUUGGUAAGUCUUAUGUGAAAUCUAUGGGCUCAACUCAUAGACUGCAUGAGAAACUGCCGGGCUUGAGUAUGGGAGAGGUGAGUGGAAUUCCUGGUGUAGCGGCGAAAUGCGUAGAUAUCAGGAGGAACACCUGUGGCGAAAGCGGCUCACUGGACCAUAACUGACGCUGAUGCACGAAAGCUAGGGGAGCAAACAGG